This 497-nucleotide ribosomal RNA is filed under the name uncultured bacterium. RNAcentral describes it as "partial 16S ribosomal RNA". It matches the Rfam family "Bacterial small subunit ribosomal RNA", at positions 28 to 507 of the family's 1533-position model. The record is from RNAcentral.
GAUGAACGCUGGCGGCGUGCCUAAUACAUGCAAGUCGAGCGAACAGACGAGGAGCUUGCUCCUCUGACGUUAGCGGCGGACGGGUGAGUAACACGUGGAUAACCUACCUAUAAGACUGGGAUAACUUCGGGAAACCGGAGCUAAUACCGGAUAAUAUAUUGAACCGCAUGGUUCAAUAGUGAAAGACGGUUUUGCUGUCCCUUAUAGAUGGAUCCGCGCCGCAUUAGCUAGUUGGUAAGGUAACGGCUUACCAAGGCAACGAUGCGUAGCCGACCUGAGAGGGUGAUCGGCCACACUGGAACUGAGACACGGUCCAGACUCCUGCGGGAGGCAGCAGUAGGGAAUCUUCCGCAAUGGGCGAAAGCCUGACGGAGCAACGCCGCGUGAGGGAGGAAGUUCUUCGGAUCGUAAAACUCUGUUAUUAGGGAAGAACAAAUGUGUAAGUAACUAUGCACGUCUUGACGGUACCUAAUCAGAAAGCCACGGCUAACUACGUG